AAAGGUUAGGGUAAUAUUGUUAUGGUAAGCCAAUCUGAGGCAGAGUAGGGCGGGACAUGCCUUCGCCAUCCUGGGGGAAAAAAAAUACUGCCUGGCCGACGUGGCUCUGCAAGGUGCUGCCGUAGGAGGCUAACAGCUAUGAGGGGAUUUUCCUUCGCUGGUCGUCUCAAAUCUCUAUGGCCUCAUUUGAGAUGUCUGCACUGUUGCUAUGCAGUGGAAAAACAACUGAUUCUGUGAGUCCAACAUUACAUUACAAGGCAGUGUUGUGCACCUACCACCUCCCAUAGUUGUCGUAUUCAAUUAUACGAUCAUCCCCCCCACCCUCCACCCCACUCCGGCAUGGUUUACUCCUCAGGAUGGAAAGGCUCCUGCUGGCACAACUGUCUAAUCUGGACUAAUCUCUGACUUUUUAAAUUACAUUCAUGGUGUUGACUUGACUAUUGAACUCAUGGAAGUGGCAUAUUUCUAAAAAUCUCUUGAAAUACUCCUGUUGUAUGUUGUGGCAUUUUAUUGAAUGUUGAAUAUUUUUGGUAAAUGUGACAUUCUCAAUGUCACAAAAUAUUGUUUUUCUGUGCCCAUCUUAAGAAAAAAAAUCACUUUUUUGGGGAUUUGGGGUGUUAUUUUGUGUCUCUGGUAAAUGUAAAUGUAA
Etheostoma spectabile (orangethroat darter) is the source of this 649-nucleotide long non-coding RNA. RefSeq lists it as uncharacterized. The transcript has 3 exons. Lineage: Eukaryota; Metazoa; Chordata; Actinopteri; Perciformes; Percidae. The record is from RefSeq and is a predicted model, not a curated record.